Molecule: ribosomal RNA, 466 nt
Filed under: Salmonella enterica subsp. enterica serovar Virchow
Lineage: Bacteria; Pseudomonadati; Pseudomonadota; Gammaproteobacteria; Enterobacterales; Enterobacteriaceae
Description: partial 23S ribosomal RNA
Rfam family: Bacterial large subunit ribosomal RNA
Source: RNAcentral
GAACCGGGGGAACUGAAACAUCUAAGUACCCCGAGGAAAAGAAAUCAACCGAGAUUCCCCCAGUAGCGGCGAGCGAACGGGGAGGAGCCCAGAGCCUGAAUCAGCAUGUGUGUUAGUGGAAGCGUCUGGAAAGGCGCGCGAUACAGGGUGACAGCCCCGUACACAAAAGCGCAUGUGCUGUGAGCUCGAUGAGUAGGGCGGGACACGUGGUAUCCUGUCUGAAUAUGGGGGGACCAUCCUCCAAGGCUAAAUACUCCUGACUGACCGAUAGUGAACCAGUACCGUGAGGGAAAGGCGAAAAGAACCCCGGCGAGGGGAGUGAAAAAGAACCUGAAACCGUGUACGUACAAGCAGUGGGAGCACCCUUCGGGGUGUGACUGCGUACCUUUUGUAUAAUGGGUCAGCGACUUAUAUUCUGUAGCAAGGUUAACCGUAUAGGGGAGCCGUAGGGAAACCGAGUCUUAAC